Molecule: long non-coding RNA, 1123 nt
Organism: Anolis carolinensis (green anole)
Lineage: Eukaryota; Metazoa; Chordata; Lepidosauria; Squamata; Anolidae
Exons: 4
Source: RefSeq, a predicted model, not a curated record
UGCUUAUUAUGCCGAGAAAGCUGACAAUGUGAAGAGAAAUAGAAAAACAAAUGGUUGAACAGAAGUGCAAGAGCUGGCUGCUUAGAGGCAGUUGUGGUGUACCCAGGCUACAGAAACUGUGGGGAAAACAUCCCAAUUUCAUCUAGUUUACAAGAACACCAUAAUACCGAAAGGAGAAACACAUCUUUAUAAAAGAAUAGACUAUCCACACACAGGAUACCUGUAAAGCUAAAAUGUAGAUGUUGUGUCCCACUUCUCGAGGGGAAACCUCAGCAUUUUCACAUUCUUCUUCUUGAAGGACAUCCGCAGCACAUUUUGCAAUAGUUUUUCAAUGAAUAUCUCGCAGAGUCCCAGCCAAUUCAACACAGUUUAUGGCAGCCACAAAAACAACGUUUCUGGAGUAUAACAACUACUGUCAAAGUACUCACUUUACAAAAGUCAGGAAGAUAACAACUAGUACUGCAAGCCACUUACCAGUUCCAGAAGGAUCAACAAUCUCCCCUUUGGAACCAGACCGUUUGGUUUGUAAGUAAUUCGUCAAAAGCAUUUUCCUCAACAUAUUGCCCUGGCAUGAAAAAGAAAUAAGAUAAACUCCUUUUGCCUGCUUUUUUCAAAAAAUAUAUUUCUUCUUAAAGGUAAAAUUCUUGAAGAACUGUUUUAUCAGCUAAGUGAAAUUAUGGUCUCCAGACAUCAUAUGCAUGCUUCUGUGUUUUAGGUUUUCCUAGAAAAUAUCUAGAUGAAGGGUGGAGAUACUGAGUUAACAGGAUCUCUGAACAGAUGCAAGAGAGCUCUUUUUUGGGAUCCUAGCAAACAAAUUGAAUUAUUGGGCAAUCAUGUCUUUUUAAGAAAUUUACUUAAUAUAAGGGGGCUUUCAGGAAGGAAAAUGGCAAAUCAGGCCUGCAUCUUUAUAUUAAAAUCCCAAUGGGGAUACUUUAAAUGGGAUUUUUUCUUUUUCUAUUUUUUGCUAUUCACAUAUCUAUAGGUGAGCACAAGACUUCUCAACUACUCACCCUGUCUCCAUAUUUGUUCCUUUUUACCAGCAUUUGCUGCAGUGUCCUCAGUACUUUAAUGCAAAGCUUCUCUUCAGCUUCCAUCAGGUCUUUAGUAUGUUGGACUAAUCUAG